UACAGAGGGGGCAAGCGUUGUUCGGAAUUACUGGGCGUAAAGGGCGCGUAGGUGGCCUUCUAAGUUGAACGUGAAAUCCCUGGGCUCAACCCAGGAACUGCGUCCAAGACUGGGAGGCUUGAAUCCGGGAGAGGGAUGCGGAAUUCCAGGUGUAGCGGUGAAAUGCGUAGAUAUCUGGAGGAAUACCGGUGGCGAAGGCGGCAUCCUGGACCAUAACUGACGCUGAGGCGCGAAAGCUAGGGGAGCAAACGGG
RNAcentral lists this ribosomal RNA (253 nucleotides) under uncultured bacterium. RNAcentral describes it as "partial 16S ribosomal RNA". It matches the Rfam family "Bacterial small subunit ribosomal RNA", at positions 524 to 776 of the family's 1533-position model. The record is from RNAcentral.